RNAcentral lists this ribosomal RNA (636 nucleotides) under uncultured bacterium. RNAcentral's name for it is "bacterial SSU rRNA". It matches the Rfam family "Bacterial small subunit ribosomal RNA", at positions 232 to 859 of the family's 1533-position model. The record is from RNAcentral.
UGCGGCGCAUUAGUUAGUUGGUAAGGUAACGGCUUACCAGGGCGACGAUGCGUAGCCGACCUGAGAGGGUGAUCGGCCACACUGGAACUGAGACACGGUCCAGACUCCUACGGGAGGCAGCAGUAGGGAAUCUUCCGCAAUGGGCGAAAGCCUGACGGAGCAACGCCGCGUGUGCGAAGAAGGUCUUCGGAUCGUAAAGCACUGUUGUUAAGGAAGAACGACAGUAAGAGUAACUGCUUACUGUGUGACGGUACUUAACCAGAAAGCCACGGCUAACUACGUGCCAGCAGCCGCGGUAAUACGUAGGUGGCAAGCGUUAUCCGGAAUUAUUGGGCGUAAAGCGCGCGUAGGCGGCGAGAUUAGUCUGAUGUGAAAGCCCCCGGCUCAACCGGGGAAGGUCAUUGGAAACUGUUUCGCUUGAGUGCAGAAGAGGAGAGUGGAAUUCCAUGUGUAGCGGUGAAAUGCGCAGAGAUAUGGAGGAACACCAGUGGCGAAGGCGGCUCUCUGGUCUGCAACUGACGCUGAUGUGCGAAAGCGUGGGGAUCAAACAGGAUUAGAUACCCUGGUAGUCCACGCCGUAAACGAUGAGUGCUAAGUGUUAGGGGGUUUCCGCCCCUUAGUGCUGCAGCAAACGCA